AACCAUAGUGGGGGCAAAAGGCUUGCAAUUCGUUAUACCUUUCACAGGCUUUAUAUAAGGUUUUACUAUCCUUUUGGGCAAAUGAAGAGAUUUGCUUCUUAAGGGU
RNAcentral lists this small nucleolar RNA (106 nucleotides) under Olea europaea subsp. europaea. RNAcentral describes it as "Plant small nucleolar RNA R71". It matches the Rfam family "Plant small nucleolar RNA R71". From Rfam's summary of the family: R71 is a member of the C/D box family of snoRNAs containing the C (UGAUGA) and D (CUGA) box motifs. The record is from Rfam by way of RNAcentral. Lineage: Eukaryota; Viridiplantae; Streptophyta; Magnoliopsida; Lamiales; Oleaceae.